AGAGUUUGAUCCUGGCUCAGGAUGAACGCUGACAGAAUGCUUAACACAUGCAAGUCUACUUGAAUUCACUUCGGUGAUAGUAAGGUGGCGGACGGGUGAGUAACACGUAAAGAACUUGCCUUACAGUCUGGGACAACUAUUGGAAACGAUAGCUAAUACCGGAUAUUAUGAUUUUCUCGCAUGGGAAAGUUAUGAAAGCUAUAUGCGCUGUAAGAGAGCUUUGCGUCCCAUUAGCUAGUUGGUGAGGUAACGGCUCACAAAGGCGACGAUGGGUAGCCGGCCUGAGAGGGUGAACGGCCACAAGGGGACUGAGACACGGCCCUUACUCCUACGGGAGGCAGCAGUGGGGAAUAUUGGACAAUGGACCAAAAGUCUGAUCCAGCAAUUCUGUGUGCACGAUGACGGUCUUCGGAUUGUAAAGUGCUUUCAGUUGGGAAGAAAAAAAUGAAGGACCAACAGAAG
This 462-nucleotide ribosomal RNA is filed under the name uncultured Fusobacteriota bacterium. RNAcentral describes it as "bacterial SSU rRNA". It matches the Rfam family "Bacterial small subunit ribosomal RNA", at positions 8 to 487 of the family's 1533-position model. The record is from RNAcentral. Lineage: Bacteria; Fusobacteriati; Fusobacteriota.